Molecule: ribosomal RNA, 570 nt
Filed under: Gastrophryne carolinensis (eastern narrow-mouthed toad)
Lineage: Eukaryota; Metazoa; Chordata; Amphibia; Anura; Microhylidae
Description: partial 16S ribosomal RNA
Rfam family: Bacterial large subunit ribosomal RNA
Source: RNAcentral
AAACAUCGCCUCCUGCAACAUAUAGGAGGUCCAGCCUGCCCAGUGACCAAGUUAAACGGCCGCGGUACCCUAACCGUGCGAAGGUAGCGCAAUCACUUGUUCUUUAAAUGAGGACUAGUAUGAACGGCAUCACGAGGGUUACACUGUCUCCCACCUCCAAUCAGUGAAACUGAUCCCCCCGUGAAGAAGCGGGGAUAAAAUUAUAAGACGAGAAGACCCCAUGGAGCUUUAAACUCAGCACCAACCACCUACAACCACAUCAUCUUAAACAAGUGGCCCUGACUGCUAGUUUUAGGUUGGGGUGACCGCGGAGCAAAACAAAACCUCCACGAUGAACGACCUCCUCUCUAAUCCGAGAGUCACCACUCAAAGAAUCAAAAAAUUGACACACAUUGACCCAAACUAUUUUGAUCAACGAACCAAGUUACCCUGGGGAUAACAGCGCAAUCCAUUUCAAGAGCUCCUAUCGACAAAUGGGUUUACGACCUCGAUGUUGGAUCAGGGUAUCCCAGUGGUGCAGCCGCUACUAAAGGUUCGUUUGUUCAACGAUUAAAACCCUACGUGAUCUGA